GACGAACGCUGGCGGCGUGCCUAAUACAUGCAAGUAGAACGCUGAAGGAGGAGCUUGCUCUUCUGGAUGAGUUGCGAACGGGUGAGUAACGCGUAGGUAACCUGCCUGGUAGCGGGGGAUAACUAUUGGAAACGAUAGCUAAUACCGCAUAAUAGUAGAUGUUGCAUGAUAUUUACUUAAAAGGUGCAAUUGCACCACUACCAGAUGGACCUGCGUUGUAUUGGCUAGUUGGUGGGGUAACGGCUCACCAAGGCGACGAUACAUAGCCGACCUGAGAGGGUGAUCGGCCACACUGGGACUGAGACACGGCCCAGACUCCUACGGGAGGCAGCAGUAGGGAAUCUUCGGCAAUGGACGAAAGUCUGACCGAGCAACGCCGCGUGAGUGAAGAAGGUUUUCGGAUCGUAAAGAUCUGUUGUAAGAGAAGAACGAGUGUGAGAGUGGAAAGUUCACACUGUGACGGUAUCUUACCAGAAAGGGACGGCUAACUACGUG
This 495-nucleotide ribosomal RNA is filed under the name uncultured bacterium. Its description in RNAcentral is "partial 16S ribosomal RNA". It matches the Rfam family "Bacterial small subunit ribosomal RNA", at positions 28 to 507 of the family's 1533-position model. The record is from RNAcentral.